GCCAGGCACGGUGGCGGGCGCCUGUAAUCCCGGCUACUCGGGAGGCUGAGGCAGGAGAAUUGCUUGAACCCGGGAGGCAGAGUUUGCAGUGAGCCGAGAUCGCGCCACUGCACUCUAGCCUGGGUGACAGAGCAAGACUCUGUCUCAA
Molecule: unclassified non-coding RNA, 148 nt
Organism: Papio anubis (olive baboon)
Lineage: Eukaryota; Metazoa; Chordata; Mammalia; Primates; Cercopithecidae
Rfam family: Metazoan signal recognition particle RNA
About the family: The signal recognition particle (SRP) is a universally conserved ribonucleoprotein.
Source: Ensembl